This 598-nucleotide ribosomal RNA is filed under the name uncultured Bacilli bacterium. RNAcentral describes it as "bacterial SSU rRNA". It matches the Rfam family "Bacterial small subunit ribosomal RNA", at positions 48 to 627 of the family's 1533-position model. Lineage: Bacteria; Bacillati; Bacillota; Bacilli. The record is from RNAcentral.
CUAAUACAUGCAAGUCGAGCGGACCGACGGGAGCUUGCUCCCUUAGGUCAGCGGCGGACGGGUGAGUAACACGUGGGUAACCUGCCUGUAAGACUGGGAUAACUCCGGGAAACCGGGGCUAAUACCGGAUGCUUGAUUGAACCGCAUGGUUCAAUCAUAAAAGGUGGCUUUCAGCUACCACUUACAGAUGGACCCGCGGCGCAUUAGCUAGUUGGUGAGGUAACGGCUCACCAAGGCGACGAUGCGUAGCCGACCUGAGAGGGUGAUCGGCCACACUGGGACUGAGACACGGCCCAGACUCCUACGGGAGGCAGCAGUAGGGAAUCUUCCGCAAUGGACGAAAGUCUGACGGAGCAACGCCGCGUGAGUGAUGAAGGUUUUCGGAUCGUAAAACUCUGUCGUUAGGGAAGAACAAGUACCGUUCGAAUAGGGCGGCACCUUGACGGUACCUAACCAGAAAGCCACGGCUAACUACGUGCCAGCAGCCGCGGUAAUACGUAGGUGGCAAGCGUUGUCCGGAAUUAUUGGGCGUAAAGCGCGCGCAGGCGGUUUCUUAAGUCUGAUGUGAAAGCCCCCGGCUCAACCGGGGAGGGUCAUU